RNAcentral lists this long non-coding RNA (582 nucleotides) under Brassica napus (rape). RNAcentral describes it as "long non-coding RNA (BNAP_LNC021556)". Lineage: Eukaryota; Viridiplantae; Streptophyta; Magnoliopsida; Brassicales; Brassicaceae. The record is from RNAcentral.
CCGUGACUUUGAACCAAUUAGUUUGAUUAGGGACACAAGGAAGUGGUGAAGAUGCAUUGUAUCAGAAACCUAUCUUUUUUUGUUCUUUGCUAUGCCAUUAUGUAUGUAGAACAACUUAUUAAUGUAUGGGUUUAUGUUAAUUUACGGCUGAGUUUUCGUUUAAUUACGGCUGAGUUAUCAUUUAAUUAUGUCUAAGUUUUCAUUAAUUUAUAUUGCUGAGUUAUCGUUUAAUUAUGUCUGAGGUAUCGUUAAUUUACGGCUGAGUUAUCGUUUAAUUAUGUCUGAGUUAUCGUUAAUUUACGGCUGAGUUUUCGUUUAAUUUACGGCUGAGUUAUCGUUUAAUUAUGUCUGAGUUAUCGUUAAUUUACGGCUGAGUUAUCGUUUAAUUAUGUCUGAGUUAUGGUUAAUUUACGGCUGAGUUAUGGUUAAUUUACGGCUGGGUUAUCGUUUAAUUAUGUCUGAGUUAUCGUUAAUUUCUGCCUUAUCAAACAUUUUAAAUACUAAAGUAUUAUCGACUCCAUGUUAUAAAGGCCUCGAAAUUAGUUCUGAGCCGUAUUUUCCACACUUUUGAAGCGCCAUAAU